AACACGUAAAGAACCUGCCCUCAGGUCUGGGAUAACCACGAGAAAUCGGGGCUAAUACCGGAUGGGUCAUCGGACCGCAUGGUCCGAGGAUGAAAGACGCUUCGGCGUCGCCUGGGGAUGGCUUUGCGGUGCAUUAGCUAGUUGGUGGGGUAAUGGCCCACCAAGGCGACGAUGCAUAGCCGACCUGAGAGGGUGAUCGGCCACACUGGGACUGAGACACGGCCCAGACUCCUACGGGAGGCAGCAGUAGGGAAUCUUCCAUAAUGGACGAAAGUCUGAUGGAGCAACGCCGCGUGAACGAUGAAGGCCUUCGGGUCGUAAAGUUCUGUUGUAAGGGAAGAACAAGUGCCGCAGGCAAUGGCGGCACCUUGACGGUACCUUGCGAGAAAGCCACGGCUAACUACGUGCCAGCAGCCGCGGUAAUACGUAGGUGGCAAGCGUUGUCCGGAAUUAUUGGGCGUAAAGCGCGCGCAGGCGGCCUCUUAAGUCUGAUGUGAAAGCCCCCGGCUCAACCGGGGAGGGCCAUUGGAAACUGGGAGGCUUGAGUAUAGGAGAGAAGAGUGGAAUUCCACGUGUAGCGGUGAAAUGCGUAGAGAUGUGGAGG
This 604-nucleotide ribosomal RNA is filed under the name uncultured bacterium. Its description in RNAcentral is "bacterial SSU rRNA". It matches the Rfam family "Bacterial small subunit ribosomal RNA", at positions 112 to 704 of the family's 1533-position model. The record is from RNAcentral.